UGAUGAGAAAUUUAAGAUUGUACCUGACUAAAAUGAAAAGAACCUUUUUGUUUUUUAGAUGCCUGCCCUGUGGCUGCCCUGGGCUACCAAUUAUGGUGCCACCUUGUCUAACUUCUCACUCUGUCCAUUUUCCUCCUCACGAAAAUUUACCUGCACAAUGUUUCAUCCCCCCAGGGCCUUGCUUCUAGUUUCUAUGGCAACAGUGAGCUAACCCACGCUUUAUGUGCCCUUCCUACCGUCUCAAGCAAGGGAGACUUUAGGAGAUGACAAUGUCUUCCUGGAAGUGAAAUGACAUUAAUGGGAAAAUCUCAAACUAAGAUUUAAGACUGAUUGUUUGAAACCAGCAAUCUGUAGUACCUCUCAAAUUAAAACAUGGAAGUCAUCUUCCUUCCUACUUCAUAUAGAGCCAACCUGGUGCCUUGUUAUUCCUAUGCUUUCCUUUGCUAAACAUCAUGUCCUAUUCGCUGUGAUCAUAGUGACAUGCUGGCUGUGGUCUGUCCUGCUGAGCGCUGUGACUGCACAGGUGAUAUCCAAAUUCAAUCAUCUAACACUUUUUCUCAACUUUCACUAAUGCAGGAAGAAGUAACACUGGAGUCAACAACAACAACAACUGCAAAACAACCUCUGGCAAUUUCUUAUCCUGUGUCUGACUGACCUCUUUUACAUCCAAGAUGGGAUCUUGCUAUGUUUCCCAGGCUGGUUUUGAACUGCUGACUUCAAGAAGUCCUCCCAUGUAGCUGUGACUACAGGCAUAAGCCACUGCGCCCAGCUUAUAUACACGGGCAUAUCAACUCCUAAGAAGUCCUCAGGGCCAUUCCCUGGAUCAGGGACUCUGUGCUGAUGGUGGUAAUGGGGCCCUCCGAUAUCAGCUUGGGAGCCAUAGCAGCUGCCUGAGAAGAAGCUGCAACUUGGAAUAGACUUGGAAGCCCCCGACACACUUGGUUCUGCAAUUUAUCCUGAGCCUAUGUCAGGUGAUUCUGCAGUCCUCAAUUAUGGCUUUGAGAGGCUAGAAGAAGUUCUCUGCUUUCCUUUCACCAUCUGCCAUGAUUGUAAAUUUACUGAGGCCUCCCUGUCAUGUCUCCUGUUAAGCCUACAGAACUGUGAGUCAAUUAAACCUCUUUUCUUCAUAGAUUACCCAGUCUCGGGUAGUCCUUUAUAGCAACGUGAGAACAAACUAAUACAUUCUAUGGCCUUAGGGUUGUGCAUAUGAGUCUAAAAUGUCAUUGUCUGCUCAAAAUAAGAAGGAGAGUUGUUAAGCUAUGCGGGAACUGGGGAAAAUAUAAAACUAAGUACCCUGUACUUAAGUCAUACCUGUAUAGUUUAUGGGAUGAAUAUACUCAAAAGUUUUAGGUUGCAACCGUGUUGGCAUUACUGGGCAUUUUGUAUAUCUUGAGAUUUAAGGGGUCCCAAGAAAAACUCCUUCCCCAAACUUCUCCCCCAGGACUCCAUAAAAUUCUUACAUCCUGCACUUCCUUGCAAAAGGGCAGAUAUCCUUGAUUAAGAGAUGCAAGGUUACCAGUGUACUUUGUAGCUUACAUGGCAGCUCUCCAAGCUGAUUACCAGCAAUAUCUUCAUUGCUGCACCACAUUUCCUGGUUGAAAGUGCCAACCAGCAAUAUCUUCAUUGCUGCACCAUAUCUCCUGGUUGAAGGUGCCAGGGGCAAGUCAUGCAGGAACAGCACUGCCCUCUCUCUCACUUGUACUGACCAGCUCCCUGUAAGCACCAUUCUUUCAGGUUUCAAGGAAAGGAAAAGAAGCUUCUCCCACACUAGAAGGUUAGGGUACCCUGAGUUCAAGUAUGUAGGUCACCUGCUAACUUGGAGUUUUAUGUAAGACAGUUAAAUCUUAGCAUUCUUUCACAUAUUAGUGUAAAUUUAGAAGGGACUUGACAUAGGAGCAAGUAGACUUACAUUUGGACUGAAAAGCCCUGAAUUUGAAUCUCAGCUUUUCGUGUCAUAGCUGUAUGAUGUGGGGCAAGUUACAUAGCUUCUUUGAGGCUCAUUUUCUUCAUCUGUAAAAGUGGAGUCAUAAUAUUUAUCUUGCAGCAUUGUUCUAAGGAUGGAAUAACAUCUGCAGUUAUGCUUGGUACUUAGUAGGGAGUUAAUCUAUGUUUAUCUAAUAAAUAGAUCAUUACUUUAUACUUUUCAAAAUGCUUUUAUAUGUAGUAUCCAUUUGUUCUUCUAAUACCCGUAAGGUAGACAAGGGUAAGGGCAAAACCAGUAGAACCAAGGAUUUCUGACUCCCCAGUAGUAGCUCUGGUGCUUCACAAUAGUGUAAAUUUGAAGAGAACAAUGGAAUAGCACAUUCAUCUACUUAGUUUGGACUUCAACGAGUUAGAUUGAAACUGUCAGAGGGUGGUGAAUGGACUUGUCAUUCAAAUAAAACACUCAGCUGUCUCUCCAUGUUUGGGAAAUCAGUUUAUUUGCUCCCAGGUAUUGGGCUGUGUCUUAUCACUGUGCAAUUCAAAAAGUUUAUUUCAGAACUUUAACACAGAACGUUUUCCCCUUAUAAGUCCCUAGAGGCCAUCUGAAUAACCUAAGCAGUAUGCUUUGAAGUUCAUGUUGUCCCUCUGAAGCAGCUGACAGAGUGAGUGACUUACACAUUGCCAGCUCAUCUGCAUUAGGUCACAGGUUUUCUUCAAUCCCAAGAUGGAUGCAUUUUUUUGUAGUUGAUGUGCAUUUGGAACAGUUCCUUUGAAAGGACACUGGUCCUCUUCCUCAACCCAGGAGGUUCAGAGAUACACA
Molecule: long non-coding RNA, 2743 nt
Organism: Papio anubis (olive baboon)
Lineage: Eukaryota; Metazoa; Chordata; Mammalia; Primates; Cercopithecidae
Source: Ensembl